GACCGCGUGUGAAAAUCGAUCUUUACAUGCGGGUUUCUUAGCGGACCGCUCGUGAAAAUCGAUUUUCACACGCGGUC
Molecule: microRNA precursor, 77 nt
Filed under: Leersia perrieri
Lineage: Eukaryota; Viridiplantae; Streptophyta; Magnoliopsida; Poales; Poaceae
Description: pre miRNA mir-2973
Source: RNAcentral